This 916-nucleotide ribosomal RNA is filed under the name uncultured bacterium. Its description in RNAcentral is "bacterial SSU rRNA". It matches the Rfam family "Bacterial small subunit ribosomal RNA", at positions 246 to 1155 of the family's 1533-position model. The record is from RNAcentral.
UUGUUGGUAAGGUAAAAGCUUACCAAGGCUUCGAUCAGUAGCUGGUCUGAGAGGACGACCAGCCACACUGGGACUGAGACACGGCCCAGACUCCUACGGGAGGCAGCAGUGGGGAAUUUUGGACAAUGGGGGCAACCCUGAUCCAGCCAUGCCGCGUGAGUGAAGAAGGCCUUCGGGUUGUAAAGCUCUUUCAGCCGGAACGAAACGGUUACGGAUAACACCCGUGACUACUGACGGUACCGGAAGAAGAAGCACYGGCUAACUACGUGCCAGCAGCCGCGGUAGUACGUAGGGUGCGAGCGUUAAUCGGAAUUACUGGGCGUAAAGCGUGCGCAGGUGGUUUUGUAAGUCAGAUGUGAAAGCCCCGGGCUCAACCUGGGAACUGCGUUUGAAACUACAAGACUAGAGUGUGGCAGAGGGGGGUGGAAUUCCGCGUGUAGCAGUGAAAUGCGUAGAGAUGUGGAGGAACACCGAUGGCGAAGGCAGCCCCCUGGGUCAACACUGACGCUCAGGCACGAAAGCAUGGGGAGCAAACAGGAUUAGAUACCCUGGUAGUCCAUGCCCUAAACGAUGUCAACUAGUUGUCGGGCCUUUACGGGCUUGGUAACGUAGCUAACGCGUGAAGUUGACCGCCUGGGGAGUACGAUCGCAAGAUUAAAACUCAAAUGAAUUGACGGGGACCCGCACAAGCGGUGGAUUAUGUGGAUUAAUUCGAUGCAACGCGAAAAACCUUACCUACCCUUGACAUGUAUCGAAGCCCGCAGAAAAGCGGGGGUGCCCGAAAGGGAACGAUAACACAGGUGCUGCAUGGCUGUCGUCAGCUCGUGUCGUGAGAUGUUGGGUUAAGUCCCGCAACGAGCGCAACCCUUGUCAUUAAUUGCCAUCAUUUAGUUGGGCACUUUAAUGAGACUGCCGG